Molecule: transfer RNA, 72 nt
Filed under: Heterocephalus glaber (naked mole-rat)
Lineage: Eukaryota; Metazoa; Chordata; Mammalia; Rodentia; Bathyergidae
Rfam family: tRNA
About the family: Transfer RNA (tRNA) molecules are approximately 80 nucleotides in length. Their secondary structure includes four short double-helical elements and three loops (D, anti-codon, and T loops).
Source: Rfam by way of RNAcentral
UGAUAUUUAGCUCAGUGGUAGAGCACUUGCCUAGCAGGCAUGAGGCUCUGAGUUUGGUCCCCAGCAUUGCAA